UACGAAGGGGGCUAGCGUUGCUCGGAAUCACUGGGCGUAAAGGGUGCGUAGGCGGGUCUUUAAGUCAGGGGUGAAAUCCUGGAGCUCAACUCCAGAACUGCCUUUGAUACUGAGGAUCUUGAGUUCGGGAGAGGUGAGUGGAACUGCGAGUGUAGAGGUGAAAUUCGUAGAUAUUCGCAAGAACACCGGUGGCGAAGGCGGCUCACUGGCUCAUUACUGACGCUCAGGCGCGACAGCGUGGGGAUCAAACAGG
This 253-nucleotide ribosomal RNA is filed under the name uncultured bacterium. RNAcentral describes it as "partial 16S ribosomal RNA". It matches the Rfam family "Bacterial small subunit ribosomal RNA", at positions 524 to 776 of the family's 1533-position model. The record is from RNAcentral.